RNAcentral lists this ribosomal RNA (305 nucleotides) under uncultured bacterium. RNAcentral describes it as "bacterial SSU rRNA". It matches the Rfam family "Bacterial small subunit ribosomal RNA", at positions 337 to 638 of the family's 1533-position model. The record is from RNAcentral.
UCCUACGGGGGGCAGCAGUGAGGAAUAUUGGUCAAUGGGCGAGAGCCUGAACCAGCCAAGUCGCGUGAAGGAUGACGGCCCUACGGGUUGUAAACUUCUUUUGUCAGGGAGCAAUUGGGUCCACGCGUGGGCUUAGCGAGAGUACCUGAAGAAAAAGCAUCGGCUAACUCCGUGCCAGCAGCCGCGGUAAUACGGAGGAUUCAAGCGUUAUCCGGAUUUAUUGGGUUUAAAGGGUGCGUAGGCGGUCGGAUAAGUUAGAGGUGAAAUCCCGAGGCUCAACUUCGGAAUUGCCUCUGAUACUGUUC